ACAGUUGGUCGGCCUGUCGCUUGCGCCUUGUGCGUAUGAGGAAAGUCCGGGCAACACAGAGCAUUCCACUUCUUAAUAGGAAGCCGUCCGCGAGGGCAGAGUAACGUAGAAGAAAACAACCGCCUGCCUACCAGCAGGUAAGGGUGAGAAGGUGGGGUAAGAGCCCACCAGCGUAGUGGUGACACUGCGGCUGUGCGUCUUGGAAGUUGUAAGGUCAUGUAAACUGGCGCUAUAAGGGCUGCUCGUCCGAUGCUAGAGGGUAGACCGCUAAAGCCACGAUGGUGACAUCUGGCUCAGAUAAAUGGCAGACACCCCUUAGCUCUCUUCUAUCAUUUAAGGGGAACAGAACCCGGCUUAUAGACCGACUGUCGUU
This 373-nucleotide RNase P RNA is filed under the name Bacteroidaceae bacterium. Its description in RNAcentral is "RNase P RNA component class A". It matches the Rfam family "Bacterial RNase P class A". From Rfam's summary of the family: Ribonuclease P (RNase P) is a ubiquitous endoribonuclease, found in archaea, bacteria and eukarya as well as chloroplasts and mitochondria. Its best characterised activity is the generation of mature 5'-ends of tRNAs by cleaving the 5'-leader elements of precursor-tRNAs. The record is from RNAcentral. Lineage: Bacteria; Pseudomonadati; Bacteroidota; Bacteroidia; Bacteroidales; Bacteroidaceae.